Molecule: ribosomal RNA, 373 nt
Filed under: uncultured organism
Description: partial 16S ribosomal RNA
Rfam family: Bacterial small subunit ribosomal RNA
Source: RNAcentral
GGGAGGGGUGCAAGCGUUACCCGGAAUCAUUGGGCGUAAAGCGUCCGCAGGUGGUUUAUUAAGUCAGAUAUUAAAUCUUGGGGCCCAACUCCAAGGCUGUAUCUGAAACUAGUAGACUAGAGUCUUUCAGGGGCAUGCAGAAUUUUGUGUGUAGGGGUAAAAUCCGUAGAUACACAAAGGAAUACCAAAAGCGAAGGCAGCAUGCUGGGAAAGUACUGACACUCAUGGACGAAAGCGUGGGUAGCGAACGGGAUUAGAUACCCCGGUAGUCCACGCCGUAAACGAUGGAUACUAGUUGUUGGAGGGCUCGACCCUUUCAGUGACGACGCUAACGCAUUAAGUAUCCCGCCUGGGGAGUACGGUCGCAAGAUUA